AUGGACGUGGUGGGGAUGGUGGGGCGCGGGGUGGGGCGUGUCCUCUCGCGGGGCAUGUACUCCGUCGCCACGCCCUUCCACCCUUUCGGCGGCGCCGUCGACAUCAUCGUGGUUGAGCAGCCCGACGGCUCCUACCGCAGCACCCCCUGGUAUGUCCGGUUUGGCAAGUUCCAGGGAGUUCUCAAGCGUAACGAGAAGGUCGUCACCAUCGCCGUCAAUGGCGUGGACGCCAGCUUCCACAUGCUGCUCGACAACUCUGGCCAGGCCUACUUCAUGCGGGAGCUCGUGCCUGGCGGUGAGGACUCUGAAACCGCUGCAGAAGAAGCUACGAGCGAGCCUGAAACUCCUCUGCGCAGUAAGAGUGACGGGGAGCUUUACAGCCAGUUGGUCGGCCCAGAGUUGAAUGAGGAUCAGGAGGAACAAAAUGGAGAGGAGUUUGAUUCAUAUGGCUAUUCCAAGUUGGAGGAGGCAGAAGAUUUGGCAAAUCAAGCUGGUGGGGGUGGGGGCAAUUCAGAGAUGCUUUUGGUUAGUGUGAACGGGUGUGUUCUAACUGCUCCCAUUUCUUCAACUGAGGAGAAUAUGGAGGAUGUGCAACUAAGUGACCCACAGUUCCAUUUGGGGCCUGGGGAGAGCUCGAGUGGCGACCUCAGCCGCGGUGGCGAGGUGUGGGAAUCUGGCAUUUUGGAUGGUUUAUACAUAUCACAGGAAAAGGCUAAGUUUGAUUCUGAACAUCCAUCAGCGGCUUUGGAGGACCUUCGGGAGGUAUCAGUUUCGAAGGAUGAAUCGCAUGACAUCCCUGUUAAUAAACAUGAAAGCCUCCAUGUCUCUGUUAAUGAAGACCAGACCUGUGUUGCAUUGACCAAUGAAGACAAGGUUCAGAGUGUGUCACAGUCAGAGAACAAUGGUCCGAAUUAUCAACCCUUGGCCGUGGAAGAUGAAGGUCAUGAAGUUUCAGGGAGCAAUGGUGAGGGCUAUCAACCCUUUCCCAAUAAAGGCGAAGCUCUUGAUGUGGCGGAGAACAAUGAUGAUGCUUGUCAACCAUUGACCAAUGAAGAUGAGACUUGUGAUAUUCCACUGGUUCAGAACAACGAGGCCAGCAAGUCCCCGUCUGAGGCAGGCAAGGUUUGUGAUGCCAGCAAUGAGAUUAUUGAGGGUGAGGUUCAGGGUUUAUCACAGUCAGGGAACAAUGGUCCUGACUAUCAAAUGCUGAAUGUGGCAGAUGGGGCUUCAGGGAGCAACGCUGAGGUUGAUCCACUCUUGCCCAAUAAAGAAGAGUCCCUUGAUAUCUUGGAGAACAAUGAUGAGGGUUCUCAACCAUUGACCAAUGAAGAUGAGACUUCUGAUAUUCCACUGAUUCAGAACAACGAGGCCUGCAAGUCCCCAUCCAAGGCAGGUAAGGUUUGUGAUGCCAGCAAUGAGAUUAUUGAGGAUGAGGUUCAGGGUUUAUCACAGUCAGGUAACAAUGGCCCGAAUUAUCAACCGCUGAAUGUGGGAGAUGAGGCUAAUGAUAUUUCUGAUAUUCCACUGGUUCAGAACAACGAGGCCUGCAAGUCCCCAUCCAAGGCAGGCAAGGUUUGUGAUGCCAGCAAUGAGAUUAUUGAGGAUGAGGUUCAGGGUUUAUCACAGUCAGGUAACAAUGGUCCGAAUAAUCAAACGCUAAAUGUGGAAGAUGAGGCUAAUGAUAUUUCAGGGAGCAACGCUGAGGUUGAUCCACUCUUGCCCAAUAAAGAAGAGUCCCUUGAUAUCUUGGAGAACAAUGACGAGGGUUCUCAACCAUUGACCAAUGAAGAUGAGGUUCAGAAUGAUGAGGCAUGCGAAUCCCCAUCUAUGUCCGGCGAAAUUUGUGAUGAAAGCAAUGAGAAUAUUCAGGCUAGUUUUAGCAGAUUUGAUACUUUCAGAAGUUGCUUGGAUUUGACAUCACAAGAUGAUGGAGAUUCAGGAACUGAACUCUUUUCACCUGAAUUUGAUCACCAGAGGGAUUCUGAGCUUAGUCUGAGUAUCCGUUCCGAUAUUGACAUAGAUCUGGGAGAAGAUGGAAGUGAAACUGCACACUGUGAUCAAUCCAAUCAAUUAAAGCAUAUAGAGGAAGUGGAUGUUUCAUCAGUUACUUCAGACGAUAAUAUAACACGCAGCGAAGACUGCUCUCCUGUCUAUGGCAAGGCAGCUGACUUGUCCUGUGGAGGGGGUUCUGAUGACAGGAGCAAAGAUACCACCCCUUCUAAUAGUGGAGCUUGUAAAUCUGAUCGCUUGCGGAUGUCCCCAAGCAGUGACAGAGACAAAUUAGGAAGCAUUCCGGAGAACCCAACUGCUGAAGAGGAAGUAAAUAAAGAAGAGCACCCCCAAUUACAGAAGGGUUUGGGCUUUGAGAUUUCUCUGUGUGGGCACUUGCUACGGCCAGGAAUGGGCCAAACAUCUGCUGAUGAAGUGUUCCAACAACAUCUUGUCCCUGAGGAGGAUUUCAAAUUGUCUGGACCAUCAAUAAUAAAAAAUGCAAACCUUAUUGUCAGAAUUGACCGUAACUAUUUCACAUGGAGUAAAGUUUCUCAUGUUGUUCUUGGGAAGGCUGUAUUUGGUCCAAACUUCUGUGUAGAACCUAUCGAUGCUAUUCCAGUUGAACGCCAAGAAACACCCAAUUCGAGAGAUGAUUCUCUUGGGAUGUCCCCAAGCCGGAGAUGGAGGCUGUGGCCUAUUCCAUUUAGGAUAUCAAGAUCUCUUCAACGCAGUAAUAGUGAUUCUUCUGAGGAUAUUUUUCUUGACACAGAGACAGUCUUAAGUCCUAUGGAUGAGCAAGCCCCAGCCAACAAUAAAGAUCAGUCACCAAGAAAGCAAUUUGUGCGGACUUUAAUUCCCACUAGCGAACAGGUGGCAUCUCUAGAUCUUAAGGAGGGACAAAAUAUUGUCACAUUUAGCUUCUGCACCAGAGUUUUUGGGAAGCAGCAGGUUGAUGCACAUAUCUAUGUGUGGAAAUGGAAUGCAAAAAUUGUUAUAUCCGACGUGGAUGGAACCAUCACAAGGUCUGAUGUCUUGGGCCAGGUCAUGCCUUUAGUCGGACGUGAUUGGAGUCAGUCUGGUGUUGCUCGACUCUUUUCUGCAAUAAAGGAAAAUGGUUAUCAACUAAUAUUCCUUAGCGCUAGAGCCAUUGUCCAGGCAUAUCUGACAAAAAACUUCCUCUUCAAUCUAAAACAGGAUGGGAAAGUACUGCCUAAUGGACCUGUUGUAAUUUCGCCUGAUGGAUUGUUCCCUUCGCUCUACCGAGAAGUCAUACGAAGAGCACCACAUGAGUUCAAGAUUGCCUGUCUGGAGGACAUUAAAGCACUUUUUCCUUCCGACUACAAUCCAUUUUAUGCUGGAUUUGGCAACAGAGACACUGACGAGCUUACAUACAAAAAGAUGGGAAUUUCGAAAGGCAAGAUUUUUAUCAUCAACCCCAAGGGUGAAGUGGCCAUCAAUAGUUCAGUUGAUGUGAAGUCCUAUACCUCCUUGCAUACCCUUGUCAAUGACAUGUUCCCUCCAACAACUUUGGUUGAGCAGGAAGACUACAACUCCUGGAAUUAUUGGAAGGUGCCGCUGCCAGACAUUGAUUUGUAG
This 3588-nucleotide ribosomal RNA is filed under the name Triticum aestivum (bread wheat). RNAcentral's name for it is "partial small subunit ribosomal RNA". The record is from RNAcentral. Lineage: Eukaryota; Viridiplantae; Streptophyta; Magnoliopsida; Poales; Poaceae.